AAGUGAUUUUAACUAAAAGAGUUAAGAGAUUUAAUAAGUUAAGAAAACCAAUUUGAGAGGUAAGGUUUAGUAUAGGGUAUAGAAUAAAUGAAGUUAGUGAUAAGGGAGUACCGUGAGGGAAGAAUGAAAUAAAUGAAAAGUAUUUUAGAAAAAAGUAGGUUGUAUUGCCGUACCUUUUGUAUCAGGGUUUAUUAAAUAUAGAGAAAGAUUUUAAAUUCUCGAUUUAAGGAGAGCUAAAACAAUAAGACAGUUUAGGUAGCAAACUGAUUGUACAUAUAGUUUUUGUAAUGAAAUAUUAGCCGAUCCUUUAGGUUUCUAGUUUCCUAAGAAAUGAAUUUAAUUCAGGGACUGGUGAAUGUAGAGUAUUGAUCUCAUCAUUUAAAAAGUCAUUAAUGUUAAGGGGGAUAAGCUCCAUAACAAGGAUAUAACUUUAAAAUUUAAAAAGUUAGUAGGCUUGAAAUUAGCCAUCUAAUUAAGAAUGUUAUAAUUUACUUUUGGAAGAUUUAAUUUUAAGGAGUUUAGUGGAUAUAUUAGGAGGAAGUUUAAAAUGAAGAAAAACUUGUGAUAAUGAUGAAAUAAGUAUAGAUAAAAGUAAUGAAAAGUUUUAGUAAGGAACUCGGCAAAUAUAAUGCUCGCCUGUUUAUCAAAAACAUCGCCUUUUGUAAGGAUAGAAGGUUUAGCCUGCCCACUGAAGUUUAAAGGGCCGCGGUAUUUUGACCGUGCAAAGGUAGCAUAAUCAUUAGUCUUCUAAUUAAAGGCUGGAAUGAAUGGCUGGACGAGGUAUUAGCUGUCUCACUAAAAUUAACUUGAAUUUAACUUUCUAGUCAAAAGGCUGGAAUGGUUUUGGAGGACGAGAAGACCCUAUAGAGCUUGAUAUACAACUUAUGUAAUUUAUUUAGAGGUUGAAUAAUUUAAUAAGGUAUAUAUUUUGUUGGGGUGACGGGGAGAUAAAAUAAACUCUUUUUAAAGUGGACCACAAAUGAGUGAUUAGUUGAUCCAUUGAUAAUGAUUAAAAGACUAAGUUACCUUAGGGAUAACAGCGUAAUCUUUUUUGAGAGUUCUAAUCGACAAGAAGGGUUGCGACCUCGAUGUUGGACUAAGGAUAAUUCUUGGGUGUAGCAGUUCAAGGUUUAGGUCUGUUCGACCUUUGAAUCCUUACAUGAUCUGAGUUCAGACCGGUGUAAGCCAGGUCGGUUUCUAUCCUCAAUUAAGGGAAAUAUUUUAGUACGAAAGGACCAAAUAUUUAAGAUAUUCUUUAUGAAGUGAAUACUAUUAAUA
This 1278-nucleotide ribosomal RNA is filed under the name Paegniodes cupulatus. RNAcentral describes it as "16S ribosomal RNA". The stretch from base 591 to 1278 matches the Rfam family "Archaeal large subunit ribosomal RNA", at positions 1423 to 2802 of the family's 2987-position model. Lineage: Eukaryota; Metazoa; Arthropoda; Insecta; Ephemeroptera; Heptageniidae. The record is from RNAcentral.